This 253-nucleotide ribosomal RNA is filed under the name uncultured prokaryote. Its description in RNAcentral is "partial 16S ribosomal RNA". It matches the Rfam family "Bacterial small subunit ribosomal RNA", at positions 525 to 777 of the family's 1533-position model. The record is from RNAcentral.
ACGUAGGGGGCAAGCGUUGUCCGGAUUUAUUGGGCGUAAAGAGCGUGUAGGUGGCUGGGUAGGUCCGUUGUGAAAACUCGAGGCUCAACCUCGAGACGCCGAUGGAAACCCUCCAGCUAGAGUCCGGAAGAGGAGAGUGGAAUUCCUGGUGUAGCGGUGAAAUGCGUAGAUAUUGGGAGGAACACCGAUGGCGUAGGCAGGGUACUGGCCUAUUACUGACACUAAGGCACGAAAGCGUGGGGAGCGAACGGGA